RNAcentral lists this ribosomal RNA (387 nucleotides) under Salmonella enterica. RNAcentral describes it as "bacterial SSU rRNA". It matches the Rfam family "Bacterial small subunit ribosomal RNA", at positions 584 to 970 of the family's 1533-position model. The record is from RNAcentral. Lineage: Bacteria; Pseudomonadati; Pseudomonadota; Gammaproteobacteria; Enterobacterales; Enterobacteriaceae. RNAcentral also lists the same sequence under 2 other names.
CAAGUCGGAUGUGAAAUCCCCGGGCUCAACCUGGGAACUGCAUUCGAAACUGGCAGGCUUGAGUCUUGUAGAGGGGGGUAGAAUUCCAGGUGUAGCGGUGAAAUGCGUAGAGAUCUGGAGGAAUACCGGUGGCGAAGGCGGCCCCCUGGACAAAGACUGACGCUCAGGUGCGAAAGCGUGGGGAGCAAACAGGAUUAGAUACCCUGGUAGUCCACGCCGUAAACGAUGUCUACUUGGAGGUUGUGCCCUUGAGGCGUGGCUUCCGGAGCUAACGCGUUAAGUAGACCGCCUGGGGAGUACGGCCGCAAGGUUAAAACUCAAAUGAAUUGACGGGGGCCCGCACAAGCGGUGGAGCAUGUGGUUUAAUUCGAUGCAACGCGAAGAACC